This is an RNA transcript of Brassica napus (rape), 1942 nucleotides long. It is a transcript of the gene named histone-arginine methyltransferase METTL23-like, with no coding region annotated. The record is from RefSeq and is a predicted model, not a curated record. The transcript has 8 exons. NCBI's taxonomy places the organism in Eukaryota, Viridiplantae, Streptophyta, Magnoliopsida, Brassicales, Brassicaceae.
AGACAAACUAUUUUUUUCUGUUGCGUUUAAUUAUUCUCUCAUUCAUGUUUCUUGCUAUGUCUUAGCCUACCUUCUGGUUUCUAAUGCUGAUCUUGCAAAAACAACACAAAAAUUUCCAAAGCAGUUGAGGUUGCUCCAGAAGAUUUUGACUUAGUCUUUGAUGUGCACGUUCGGUUUUGAUAACUAUAUAGUUUUCGUUUAACGUUCCUAGUGAGUCUGUUUCUUUUCUUUCUUGAAUCCUUUUAAGGCAAUGAACAACCAACUCCCAGCGGUCAAUGUAAACAACACCAUGAUCUUCAAAAGUAGAAUGUGGAUCAAAAAUCUACCCGGUAACAUCAGUAAUACAACUCUUUUUGAAUAUUUAACGUAAAAAGUAUAACAUAAAACAUUUUAUUAUAGCAGAGACUCUAAAUAAAUAACAGAGUUAAAAAAAUUAUAUUUACUAAUAUACGUAUAUAAACAGUAAUUAUUUUUACUAAUAAUAUUAUUUAGAAAAAAAUUGGUUUUAAAAGAUAAUAUUAAUAAUAACUAUUAAUAUAAUUAGUAUAUUUUUAAAAUAAUUUUGUUUUAAAAAAGAUUGACCAAUCAGGAGAGGGAUCAGAUGGUAAGACAAAGGAGAGUGCUCAAUUGUCGUAACAGGCGGAGCGAAACGCUCUUCUCGCAUAAUAAAAGCGAGAAAAUAACCACUCCUCAUUUCCCCUUUCACUUGCCUGAAGGAUCAUGCUUUUACUUUAACCCAACACCUAUCCUUUUAUACCCAAACAAUAGCUUCCCCAACUUCACUACUUACCGAUGUGGGACUUUCCUCUUCUUCACUUAAAUCAAAAACCCUAAUUUCAAAAUCUCAAGACUACUACGAUGACUACUACUGCCACGACGACGACCAUCUCUCAGCAUGAUUUCUACGGUGAUGAUGAUGGAGAUUCCGAAACUUCCAUCUCUGUAUCUGUUAUCGAGAAUAUGAAGGAAGAGUACGGUUUGUUCGUUUGGCCUUGUAGCGUCAUCCUCGCCGAGUAUGUCUGGCAACAGCGAUCUCGAUUUCGUGGCUCUACCAUUCUCGAGCUAGGAGCUGGCACUUCCUUGCCUGGUUUAGUAGCUGCUAAGGUUGGAGCUAACGUCACCCUUACCGAUGACUCAAGCAAAGCAGAGGUUUUGGAGAAUAUGACAAGAGUUUGUGAGCUUAACAAUCUCAACUGUAAUGUAAGUAAUGGGUCUCACUUGGGGAGUGUGGGAUGCAACCAUAUUUGAUCUGCGGCCUAACAUUAUACUUGGAGCUGAUGUUUUAUAUGAUUCAAGUGCGUUCGAUGAUCUCUUUGCCACCGUCUCUUUCCUGCUUCAGAAUUCUCGAGAUGCAGUUUUUAUCACUACGUAUCACAACAGGAGUGGGCAUCAUCUGAUCGAGUUCCUCAUGGUGAAAUGGGGUCUGAAUUGCGUUAAACUUGUGGAUGGCUUCUCAUUUUUGCCAUCUCGAAAGGCAUCUUUACUAAGCGGCAACAUUCAGCUUGUUGAGAUCGUAUUGAGUUGUGGAAAAUCAGCAGCCUAAUAAGACUGUAAAAUAAGAGGCCAAAGGUCAAAGGAAAAUAUCAAACUAAUGGUUGAGCUUGUCUCAUUUGGCUGAGAAUGAAGGAGGAUCGAUUUGGUAAGAAACAAAGGGAAAAUGAUUGUAAGUAUGUCAAAGCAGGAUAAAAGAUCACAGAUAAGAUUGAAUUGGAGCCUAACAAAUACAUCUUCACGACCAGUUUGCAACAAUUGUCUUUUUCUUUGCUCAAAUCCAUUUGUUCUUAAAGACCACGAGCACACCAACGCAUUUUUUCGUUCAUAUUAUUGUUUCAAAAUUGUUUAAAUUAAGAGCUCCCAUUGGUGAAAAUAGGAGAUCGUUUGCAAAAUACAAGUCUGUGAUUCUUGUUUUCUCACAAUUUUUGUUAUAACCAACUUCCACAUU